UACGUAGGGGGCAAGCGUUGUCCGGAAUCAUUGGGCGUAAAGCGCACGUAGGUGGCGACGUAAGUCGGGUGUGAAAGCCCCGGGCUCAACCUGGGAAUUGCAUUCGAGACUGCAUUGCUGGAGUACGGAAGAGGAAAGCGGAAUUCCCGGUGUAGCGGUGAAAUGCGUAGAUAUUCGGAAGAACACCAGUGGCGAAGGCGGCUCACUGGCCCGUUACCGACGCUCAGGCGCGACAGCGUGGGGAGCAAACAGG
This 253-nucleotide ribosomal RNA is filed under the name uncultured bacterium. RNAcentral's name for it is "partial 16S ribosomal RNA". It matches the Rfam family "Bacterial small subunit ribosomal RNA", at positions 524 to 776 of the family's 1533-position model. The record is from RNAcentral.